RNAcentral lists this transfer RNA (87 nucleotides) under Paludibacteraceae bacterium. RNAcentral's name for it is "tRNA-Ser". It matches the Rfam family "tRNA". Rfam says of the family: Transfer RNA (tRNA) molecules are approximately 80 nucleotides in length. Their secondary structure includes four short double-helical elements and three loops (D, anti-codon, and T loops). Further hydrogen bonds mediate the characteristic L-shaped molecular structure. tRNAs have two regions of fundamental functional importance: the anti-codon, which is responsible for specific mRNA codon recognition, and the 3' end, to which the tRNAs corresponding amino acid is attached (by aminoacyl-tRNA synthetases). tRNAs cope with the degeneracy of the genetic code in two manners: having more than one tRNA (with a specific anti-codon) for a particular amino acid; and 'wobble' base-pairing, i.e. permitting non-standard base-pairing at the 3rd anti-codon position. The record is from RNAcentral. Lineage: Bacteria; Pseudomonadati; Bacteroidota; Bacteroidia; Bacteroidales; Paludibacteraceae.
GGUGAGAUGGGUGAGUGGCUUAAACCGACAGUUUGCUAAACUGUCGAUCGGGUAACCGGUCCGGGGGUUCGAAUCCCCCUCUCACCG